This 518-nucleotide unclassified non-coding RNA is filed under the name Saccharomycetales sp. MK2-2020. Its description in RNAcentral is "sequence contains 18S rRNA gene, ITS1, 5.8S rRNA gene, ITS2, 28S rRNA gene". The stretch from base 191 to 345 matches the Rfam family "5.8S ribosomal RNA". Lineage: Eukaryota; Fungi; Ascomycota; Saccharomycetes; Saccharomycetales. The record is from RNAcentral.
AUUAGAGGAAGUAAAAGUCGUAACAAGGUUUCCGUAGGUGAACCUGCGGAAGGAUCAUUAACGAAUUUGAUAUUACAUCUUUUUCUGUGAAUUUUGAGUCAUUCAUUUGACUAAAUUGCUUCGGGGACUUUCGAGUUCCCGCUGGAAAACAUUUUAAACCUUUGUCUAAACAACUUUAAUAAUAUAUUAAAACUUUCAACAACGGAUCUCUAGGUUCUCGCAUCGAUGAAGAACGCAGCGAAAUGCGAUACGUAUUGUGAAUUGCAGAUUUUUGUGAAUCAUCGAAUCUUUGAACGCACAUUGCGCCUGGUGGUUAUUCCACCAGGCAUGCCUGUUUGAGCGUCAUUUCUCUCUCACUCCGGUGGUUUUGCUGUAUCUCUCUUUACGGAAAGUGCAGUGAAAGGAAAUGGCAAAGCUCUUAUUUUGUAAACGUGUUUUAGGUUUUUCCAACUACACCAGUAACAAAGUUUGAAGUUGGCUUGAUAACUCUUUCAACGUUGACCUCAAAUCAGGUAAGA